AUGCUCAAGGUGCUUUGAGAACGCUGGCAAGCGCGGUGGCGCUCUUUCAUCCCCUGGAGGACGUCUUGAUAUUCUGGGUGGCAAACCUUGGUAUGUCUUGGGAGGAAUGCAAGUCUUCUGCGCUGCGCUAGAGACCUGCGGCGGAAGGGUUAACGGCUCCAGUGCUCGAUGCCUUUGCAAUGCACGGCCUCUGGGGCUGGAUACAGGGUCUUUGGUUCCGUCUUUGCAAGCGCGAGGUGACAGAUCCCUAUUGCGUACGGGUUCGGCUGCAUCGGACGUGCGCUCUGGAAACCCGCGGGUCGCUGGCAGUGCAAGUCCACUGCGCUUGUUUGCAGGGGCGUCGGCGUUCGUGCAGACCUCGGGUCGCCGCACAAUGCCGCCAUGGGACUUCAGGGCCACAGCCGAAGCGCCUUGCCGCUUCUGCACUGGAAUGCGGUCAGUCUUGGUGUGCCCGUAAGUUUCAUGAUCGAGACCGUGUUCCUGAUCCUCGGUCACGGCUGCUGGUGCAAGCGUCAGUGCUGCAACUGCCUCGCUGCCGUACUCGUCCGCGAGGUACCCGGUACGCCGCUCAAGCGUUUUUCUGCUGCGGUCUCGUCGGCGCUCUUCUGGUGGCGAAGCAUCUGCUGGACUCGACACCACCUGCGCAACACGUCGCGGAACGGAAACGUGGACUGCACUCGUCGGCGCCAGGUUCGCGCUCCGAGCAACUUCCACACGCUGAACGUGAUGCGUUGCGUCCAGGGCGACUCCAGAGAGCGGCGCUAUACCGUCCGAUGACGUUGAACUUGCGACAGGCGCACGUGCAUUGAGCACGGCGUCCGGUGAAACCUGGGCAAGAGCAAGCUUGUUAUCACGCAGUUGCUGCCUGCUUCUCCACGUCAGGAUUGUAAGCGGGCCGCGGGACUCCCUGCGACUGCGCAGCGCCGAUGACUCCCAGAAAACUACCGGUGACGCGCCCCAUGCAGCCGAUACCGUGUGUACAGCAUUGCCGUGCAGCAUUGGCGACAUUGUGGACAGACAGCUCUCUUGCUUCGCAGCGAUGCUGUUGUCCAUCAAGAAUUCGGACUCGUUGUGUUUCGCACGUGUCAGGGCAUCGCUGUCACAUGGCGGCAUGUUGGCGUACUUUUGAACCAAUCCUGCGUGAACAGCAAGAAUCGCAGACAUAUCGGCUGUGGCAUUGAGCGUCUCCUUGGUGCGUUCCAGGCGGUUGGAACCCUCUUUUUUGUCACCCAGACUGGGCUGCUCCAGCGUGUCGGGACGACCCGGGCUGCUGAUGCCAGUCAAAGACGGGGCGCUCGAGUCACCGAUUGUCACCGCCAAGCUGUUCGUAUGAUCGCUCUUGUUCUGAUCCUUGAGGAUUUGUGCUGCUUGAAAAUCUUGCUGGGAUAGCCUGACAUUUUCACACCCAUUGUGCGUUCGCUGAGGAGAUUCGUUACGGUUUCUGGUUGUUUUUCGUUUGCGCUCCGAUAAAAUUAUAGUGGUUUGUGUGAACGACGUGGUCUGGAUGAGCAUAUUGCUCUCCAAAGAGGAGCUGUCGUCCACCACCGACGUAUCGAUGAAGUCCUCCUCAGGUGGCGGUGAGGGCGGUGCGUCCGACUGGCCUGUUGGCGCACGCACCAUAGCACUCGGAGCAGGGUCGUUAGCCGGGAUCGGUGCUUCUCGGUUCGCAUUUCGAGAAAGCAGCGCUGCCCGCUGCAGUGUCGCCUUUGUUCCGGGACUUAGUACGAGAUCACCGGCCCAGAGUCCGCUGUUCUCAUGGGCCGACUCAGCGGCAAGCGCCCUCGGGUGCGAAGCCGUCGCACAGGGCGUGUUCUCGAGCGCGAUCGGCUGGAGCACGCCACGCCGCCCUCGUCCAGCAUUUGAAGUCGUUGCCUCUUCCAGUUUGUGCGUGGGGCGAAUCGAUCCACUUUUCAAUGUUGUGCCAAAGUUGUCUUGGUCUGGCUUCCCAGCGGGACCGAAGAACGUUGAAAUGAGCUCAGCACAACCACCGAUAUGGCUCGCAGUUGGCUGUAAACGCUGGGGCCACACUCGCCGGGAAGCAGGGGCGUCUGCACUCACCAUCGGCCUCCCGUACGUGCG
This 2079-nucleotide unclassified non-coding RNA is filed under the name Cyanidioschyzon merolae strain 10D. Its description in RNAcentral is "hypothetical transcript". Lineage: Eukaryota; Rhodophyta; Bangiophyceae; Cyanidiales; Cyanidiaceae. The record is from RNAcentral.